GAAAUUAUAUUUGGGAAAGCAGUUAAUGUAUUAGACUACAGUAUAUCAACAAACUAUAAAAGCAGUGUUGGGUGUAUUUCUAAACAGAAACUUCAUAUUUUUAGUUGUCUAACAAAUAUUUAUUAAUGAGUAAUUGUUUUUUUCAUGUUUUAUUAAUUAGAUACCAGUUAGGCCUUCUGGUCAACAUAAUUUACCAGAGUUAUAUAAUUUACCCCCCCCAAACAACCUUUAUUUCAUGUAUAUUUUAGUUUUAUUUAGAUAUUGAAAGUAAGAACCUCUCUGUACACACACGUAUACAUAUAUAUGUACAUAUAUUUCAUAUGUAUAUAUAUAUAUUUUUUUUGAUAGAGGUAUGGAUAUGCUAGAAUGGGAAGAAGUUGGAAUCAGUCUAGACGAGGAUUUCUCACCUUCAGCACUACUGACAUUUUAGACCAGAAAAAUCUUUGUUUUGCUGUACUGUUCUGCUAUUCUAGUAUGUUUGGCAGCUUCCUUGUCUUCUCCCUACAGAUGCCAGCGCCCCCCUUUGGCCUAUCACCAGUUGUGACAACCCGAAAUAGAUACAGACAUUGCUUGUAUGCCUUGGGCAAAAUUACCCCUUAUUGAUAAGUACUGGUCAUCCUUGGUUUCUGUUUCUGCCUCUUCUCUACAUCCAGAAAGACCCUAUUGACUGUAAUGCCAAUGCAUAUUCUAAAUUUCAUUACUUUUGCCCCUACUGCUCCCACCCUAACACAAGUUACCAUCACUUCAUUUCUGGAUGGUUAAGCAGCAUUUUAGUUCUUCUGCUCUUACAUAUCUUAAAUUUGCUUUUUAAAAAAUUAUGAAAUUUGGUACAGAAAUUUAUGGUAAUACAUACGGUUUCAAAAGUAACAAGCACCCAUGUAUCCAUUCUAUAGGAAUAUUAUCCAAGAAAUAAACCAUUAUGGGUAUUUUUGAAGCUUGAGAGGUACCUCUUCCUGAUGAUUUUACAAUUCAUUCCUCAUACAGAAGGUUAAUAUUUUUUUUUUUUAGAAAACAAAUCAGGUCUGGCCUAUAUAUUUCCAAUUGCACUUUAAAUUCUCUUCUUAGAAUGGCCUGGGGGUUCCAUGUAAUUGGGCCACUGUGUCUAAAACUAACUCCACUCCAAGUAUUUGUCUGCUUUGCUAUUCAAGAACUUCCUGCCUGUGGAACCUUGUACUUGUUUUUUCCUUUGCCAAUAUGCUCUUCAGGUGCUACUCCUUGGACCAUUCUGAUCUUGCGAUUCUGUACUUACUGUCUGAUACCAUGUUCUCUUUAUGGCAUUUAUCUGAAAUAAUUUUUUCUUUUACGUGUAAACUUCUUUAUGCCUCUCUUUCAUUAAAACAUAAAUUUCUAGAGAGCAGGGAUUUUGUCUCUACCUAGCUUAUAGUUUUGGCACUCUGUAUUUGUUGAAUGAAUGCAUGCUGAAAAAAACUCAGCUUUUCCAUUUUAGGUGUUUUUUUUUUCCCCCCUUAGUACUAGAGAUUGAAUCCAGGGAUGUUCAACCACUGAGCCACCUACCCCUUUUAAUUUUUUAAUUUUGAGACACAGUCUGGCUAAGUUGCUUAGGACCUCACUAAAUUGCUGAGACUGGCAAUCCUCCUGCAUGGGCCUCCCAAGUUUCUGGGAUUACAGGCAUGUGCCACUGCACCUGGCUUAGUUGAUUUUUUGAUGUUGGGCAGGUGGCUUAAUAUGUGUUUCUGAUUUCACAUCUACAUAGUGAUCAUAAUCUACUUUAUCAUCCUUGAAUGAGCUAUAUCUGUAAGCUCUUCAGAAAUCAUAAAGUGCUAUGCAAAUAGGAGUUAAAAUAUGCAAUUUGCAUAUUUUAAAUAUGGCUCAAAUAUAAAUUGUGGCUCAAUGGUCUAGCACAUGUGAGGCGCUGGGUUCAAUCUUCAGCACCACAUAUAAAUAAAUAAAGGCAUUGUAUCCAGCUACAACUAAAAAAAAUAUUUUUAAAAAUGCAGUUUAUUUUUUGGUAUUGCAUGAUCAGGAAAAAAUAAGCAUGUAGUCCACUUAAUAUAUACAAGUAUAUUUAAAUACU
RNAcentral lists this long non-coding RNA (2035 nucleotides) under Marmota monax (woodchuck). Lineage: Eukaryota; Metazoa; Chordata; Mammalia; Rodentia; Sciuridae. The record is from RNAcentral.